UAUCUUGUGUACACAAUAACACAAACCAAACUAAAAUGGCUUCUAAAAAAACCUUGCUUGUUUGGGUUACCCUAAUUCUUUGGGUGUUUUUAUUGUGUGCUUCUGAGCUUCAUGGUGCAAGCUCAUAUGAAAUGGGUAAAAGUAGAAGGCUACUUGGUCAAGAUCAAGAGACAAGUCCAAUUAAGAGUGAGGAAUCAACUCGUAGAAAACAAACCGAUCAACCAGGAGCUGAGCCUUGUUGCCACAAUUUCUAAUGUUCAUAGAGGAUGGUGCUGCUAUUGUCUGAAUGAAUUGUACAAAUAAUUAAGACAUAUUGGAUGAAAUAAGGCUCUAAUUAAUUGUAAUGGAGUUUAUUUUCAUAUAGAUUGGUAGCUUGGAUUAGAUCAUGUUUGCAUCUUCUUUUUUUCUUCUUCUUAUAAUAUAGGCUAAAUUACAUUUGUGGUCCUUUAA
Molecule: long non-coding RNA, 450 nt
Organism: Cicer arietinum (chickpea)
Lineage: Eukaryota; Viridiplantae; Streptophyta; Magnoliopsida; Fabales; Fabaceae
Source: RefSeq, a predicted model, not a curated record